ACACACUAAACCCAACCAUCUUGGGGUGGACUCCCUGCCAGCCCAACAGUUGUAUUUUCAGUUCUUCCAGUGUGAAUCAGUUAAUAUUAUCGGGAACGAGGGAGAGGUUGAUCCUAGGAGGAAAUCAACCACAGUGAAAAGGCUUGGGCCGCUUUUGUUUUCACCUCCUUUUGCUGAACAAAUUUGAUUUCCGGAGUCAGUCAUUUUACUGUCAAGAAAUUUCUGCGGCAUUCUGCAACAGCCAACCCUGCUGGAAGUGGUAAGAUGAGGCCGCAUUCUCAUGUCACGGUCUUACAGUGGAUUGACACUGGAUGAGAAAGAGAAAUGCACUUCAUCUUCAUCACUCCAGAGAAAAAGAAUGUGAAUUGACUAAAUACAUGUGAGACAGGAUCUCACUCUGUUGCCCAGGCUAGGGUGCAGUGGUAUGAUCAUGGCUCACUGCAACCUCCACCUCCUGGGCUCAGGUGAUUCUCCCACCUCAGCCUCCCGAGGAGCUGGGACUACAGGAAUGCACCACCAUUCCGGCUAAGUUUUGUAUUUUUUUGUAGAGAUGGGGUUUCACCAUGUUGCCCAGACUGGUUUUGAAC
Molecule: small RNA, 587 nt
Filed under: Pongo abelii (Sumatran orangutan)
Lineage: Eukaryota; Metazoa; Chordata; Mammalia; Primates; Hominidae
Description: processed transcript
Source: RNAcentral